CUCCUACUCCCUCUUCCAUCUAAUUCUUCAUUAAGAUUAAUUUUUAAUUAACUUUAUAUACAGAAGACCAACUCUAUAUUAGGUAAAUAUUCCUACAAGUUACACCCACACAGACACACAAAAAUAUAAAGUACUGUUUGAAUACUAGUUUUAUGGUUAAUUCGCAUAGUACAACACAUUAAAGACAGAGUCCUACAUGGGGAGCAAGUGCACAGUGACUCCUGUUGCUGAUUUAACAAUUGACAUGCUUAUUUAUGACGUCAGUGAUCUCCCCAGGCUCUUGUUUCAGUUUCCUUCCGCAGAGUUAGCUGUCUUGACUCCGAAGCCUACAUUGGCGGUAGAUAUUAUCCCUUUAACUGAAAUGAAGUCCCAAAAGCAUUCACUGAAUGGAAAGGCUGAAAUCACGGAAGAGAUACAGAUAGAGAGAAACGUGGAACUGGAAGAAGCAGCAGUGCCCAGACCCCAUUCCUGGAGCAACACCGUCCCCCCUACACACGGGGUUUAGGAAUCUCAGAAAGAAAUGCCCAGGAAACACUGAGCAGAGCAUAUUACAAGCAUGACCGAUACUUUGGCCUUCACUGAGAACCAAGGUCAAAACAUGUACUUGAUUAGACUUGCCAAGAGUUCAUUAUUCAUUGGGACCAUCAUUGGGACUCAAUGGGUUAAGCCGCCACUUGCAAUGCAAGCAUCCCCAUUUGGAGCGCUGGUUUGGCUUCCGAUCCAGCUUCCUGCUAAUGAAUCUUGGAAGGCAGUGGAAAGUGGCCCAAGUUGGGCCCCUACCAGUCAUGUGGAAGACCCAGAUAAGAGUUCCUGGAUCCUGGAUUCAGCCUCGCCCAGACUUGAAUUUUGUCAUUUGGGAAGUGAACUAGCAAACGAAAGUCUCCUGCUCGCUCACUCUUGCUCUUGCUCCCUUGCAAAUAAAUAAAUAUUAAUGAAGAAUCCACUGCUCGCAUCACAUAAUUGCCACUCUAGUAGUAAUAAUCUAUGAAAUUACCUAGGGUCUAGGAAAUUAAGAAAAUUGUCAGUUUUGCUAGGGUUGCUCUGAGUUCUCAGAGCACAGAGCUUGAUUCCUGAGGGUCAAAAUACCUUGGAAUCUAAACAAAGCUCACAACACUUGACAACCACCCACCACUGAUCUUCUGUGUGAUCCUAGGUGAUCCUGGUGAAUCAUUUUUAUAUCUAUAAAAUAAGCAUGCACCAUGUUUAUGAGCCUGAUGUAAUCCAAGUACCGGGCAGUUGAAAUUUUCUCUAAAAAAUGUCUGCUUCCAAGAGCAGAGAAUGACUGCAUAGCAUUGCAAUUUUUUUUUUAAAGAUUUUUUAUCUAUUUAUUCGAAAGUCAGAGAGUUACACAGAGAGAAGAGAGACAGAGAGAGAGAGAGAGAUAGGUCUUCCAUCCGAUGGUUCACUCCCCAAUUGGCCGCAACGGCCAGAGAUGCGCCGAUCUGAAGCCAGGAGCCAGGAGCUUCUACCGGGUCUCCCAUGUAGCUGCAGAAGCCCAAGGACUUGGGCCAUCCUCCACUGCUUUCCCAGGCCAUAGCAGAGAGUUGGAUGGGAUGUGGAGCAGCCGGGACUAGAACCGGCGCCCACAUGGGAUGCUGGUUCUUCAGGCCAGGGUGUUAACCUGCUGCGCCACAGCGCCGGCCCUAGCAUUACAUUUUGAACCAACUUGGAUGAGAACUCCUACUGGAUUCAAAUAAUUAAAACAGGAAGAUCUAGUAAAGGUGAAACUAAGAUAAUGGGGGCCAGGUGGGGGGUGGUUAAUGAGACUUGGCUGAUUUCCAUGUCACUCUGGGAGAUACCUGAGUGAGCAGACAUGCUGGGCUGGAGAAUUCAGGACUUGGUCCAGGGAGGGGCUGAUCCCUGAAAAGAUACAUCUGGUUGCUGUAGGGAGUCUGGGUUUCACAUUCCAUGUCAAUAUUAUCAGGAUCUCAGUGAGCUGGGGAGGUCACUGGGUGUUGCAAUAGCCAAUUACAGCAAAAACAAAGCAAACAAAACCACAGUGAAACCUGAAGCACUUGCUGCCAGAAGCAAGAGGCUAACACGGAGGAAAGCACCCGCUCUCCUCCCGGCCACUUCAUUUUUCUCCAUGAAAAGCCUGUCUGGUGCAGGGUCAAGUAGAGGUUCUCUAGUGUUUGAGGAAGUUGCAGACAAAAGCUCUUGCAGUUGGAGGAAUAAGAGGCCAGGGAGGAGGGAGAGGGGAAAGCCUAGGAGUGCAAAAGUACUGGGUACUGAUGGGAAUACAGAAAGGGGUCCUCAAGUUUCCUCUGACAUCCCGUAAGGAGGUCCUGAAGAGGACCCCUGGGAAGGAAGGUGAAGGUGAACACUCUAGGAAUGCAAAAGAGAGGGGAACCUCAACGAGUUCUCAGAAAAUACCUAGUAUGAGAAAAACAGGCAUGGAGAUAUCUCAUCUUUUUUGGCAACAAAAUAAAUUUGUUUUAAUUCCAUUUGUCCA
Molecule: long non-coding RNA, 2452 nt
Organism: Oryctolagus cuniculus (rabbit)
Lineage: Eukaryota; Metazoa; Chordata; Mammalia; Lagomorpha; Leporidae
Source: Ensembl